GAUGAACGCUGGCGGCGUGCCUAAUACAUGCAAGUCGAGCGAACAGACGAGGAGCUUGCUCCUCUGAUGUUAGCGGCGGACGGGUGAGUAACACGUGGAUAACCUACCUAUAAGACUGGGAUAACUUCGGGAAACCGGAGCUAAUACCGGAUAACAUGAUGAACCGCAUGGUUCAACAGUGAAAGACGGUCUUGCUGUCACUUAUAGAUGGAUCCGCGCCGCAUUAGCUAGUUGGUAAGGUAACGGCUUACCAAGGCAACGAUGCGUAGCCGACCUGAGAGGGUGAUCGGCCACACUGGAACUGAGACACGGUCCAGACUCCUACGGGAGGCAGCAGUAGGGAAUCUUCCGCAAUGGGCGAAAGCCUGACGGAGCAACGCCGCGUGAGUGAAGAAGGUCUUCGGAUCGUAAAACUCUGUUAUUAGGGAAGAACAAAUGUGUAAGUAACUAUGCACGUCUUGACGGUACCUAAUCAGAAAGCCACGGCUAACUACGUG
This 497-nucleotide ribosomal RNA is filed under the name uncultured bacterium. RNAcentral's name for it is "partial 16S ribosomal RNA". It matches the Rfam family "Bacterial small subunit ribosomal RNA", at positions 28 to 507 of the family's 1533-position model. The record is from RNAcentral.